GCCUUGAUGGUGAAAUGGUAGACACGCGAGACUCAAAAUCUCGUGCUGAAGAGCGUGGAGGUUCGAAUCCUCUUCAAGGCA
Molecule: non-coding RNA, 81 nt
Organism: Triticum aestivum (bread wheat)
Lineage: Eukaryota; Viridiplantae; Streptophyta; Magnoliopsida; Poales; Poaceae
Source: Rfam